Molecule: ribosomal RNA, 440 nt
Filed under: uncultured bacterium
Lineage: Bacteria
Description: partial 16S ribosomal RNA
Rfam family: Bacterial small subunit ribosomal RNA
Source: RNAcentral
CCUACGGGAGGCUGCAGUGGGGAAUAUUGCACAAUGGCGGAAACUCUGAAGCAGCGACGCAGCGUGAGCGAUGAAGUACUUCGGUAUGUAAAGCUCUAUCAGCAGGGAAGAAAAUGACGGUACCUGACUAAGAAGCCCCGUCGAACUACAUGCCAGCAGCCGCGGUAAUACGUAGGAGGCAAGCGUUAUCCGGAUUUACUGGGUGUAAAGGGAGCGUAGACGGUCCUGCAAGCCAGAUGUGAAAGCCCGGGGCUCAACCCCGGGACUGCAUUUGAAACUGUAAGGCUAGAGUGUAGGAGAGGCAGGCGGAAUUCGUAGUGUAGCGGUGAAAUGCGUAGAUAUUACGAAGAACACCAGUGGCGAAGGCAGCCUGCUGGACGAUGACUGACGUUGAGGCUCGAAAGCGUGGGGAGCAAACAGGAUUAGAUACCCCUGUAGUC